Molecule: long non-coding RNA, 1618 nt
Filed under: Callithrix jacchus (white-tufted-ear marmoset)
Lineage: Eukaryota; Metazoa; Chordata; Mammalia; Primates; Cebidae
Description: lncRNA (ENSCJAG00000084049.1)
Source: RNAcentral
UUCUGUGGAUCCUUUACUGUGUGUUUCAGCUGAGUUUCUUAGCACAUUCUUAACAAACCUGAAAGCAGAUGUCUGUGUUUAUAAAGAAAGAUGAACUAGACACAGAAAAUGUCUUAACAAGAAACGGUAACAUAUCAAGUUGAGGAAGGGACGUGCUCUCUUCUGUUUUUAUAAAAUGAGGUUAGGUCAGCCGUAGCCCUGUGUCUGGUUUUCUGGGGUGCCCCUGGCACUGUCGCUGGGGCUUCCUAAUUCCUGGAUCCUGUUCCUGUUGUGUACAGACAUGCAUUUCUGUGUGGUUUGGAAGGAAAAACGGUUAUUCAAAGACACAUUGGCACCAACUCUCAGGUUCAACUACCUGCAUUUUCCUUCUUUGUCCCCCUCUCCAUGAUGAUGGCUAGAGGGUCCUGAGCUGGGUAACAAUGGAUGGGCAGAAGUGGAAAGAAAGGCCAGGGGAGCUAAGUGGUCAUACCACCUGAAGCUUCUGUCUGUAUAAACUCUUCCCACUGCUGGGGCUGAUGGUCAUACCUGACAUCAGUCCUCUCCUCAAGGAAUCUCAGAAAAUCUCUGGGCUGUCUGGGAGAGAUAUAUUUUUGACCCCAUCUACUACCAAGUUCCUUUCUUUUUUCUUUUUGUCCCCUUUGUUCCUUUAUUAACGGUUCUUCCUGUAGUGUGUACUCAGGUUCUACUGGGGAAUCACAGAAAGGCAGCAGUGCUAGGAUCUGUUGGGAUUGCACCCUGAGGGCUGUGGCUCUGGCUUCUCUGUCAGCUUUUCUGUUCCCUUGUGCUAUAGUGGUUGAGUCCCUUUGAUGCCCCACAAUGAAUUAUAGCAUGGCCUUUGGCAAGUUUAUUGCUUCCAAUAGCUGACAAGCCCAUGCUUUAUAGGGGACUGUUUGCUAGUUAGUAAUCCCCUUUCUUUCCAGAUUGUAGUGUGAGCAUGAACUAGAAGAAAUGCUUAUUCAGAAUCUAUAUAGAUGUUAAGCUUUUUUCCUUGUCUCAACAUUAAGGCUCAAGUAAGAGCAAUGAUUUCAGCCUUUUGUGCUGAUGUGCCAAGGAGCAGUGGCUGGGCUUCGAUGAUUGUGUUAUGAUUUACUGCUGCAUAUCCAGCUCAGUGCUGUGUCAAACCCCACUUGACACAACACUACUGCCAUCUGUGAAGCACUCAUCCUCAGAAUCUGGGGGAGGCUGGUCUUUAAUGUAGGCCGGCUAACAUUAUGUAUGUGCAACGACCUGCCGGCAGAAAUGAUCAGUUAUUGGGCCUGUGGGCAGCAACGAGGCUGGAUUCAAAGUGUUGCAGGUUUUAGGGGUUACAUCUGGAUUGUCUGGGAGCAUGGCCUGGUAUUUGGCUAAUCUUUCCCCUGUCAUCCAGAUAUAUCCCUUUAUCUCUAAGAAUGACUUAACCUGGCGAGGGGGUUAGAACUUCCGGUGGUUGGCUCAGGGCGAUUUUAGUGGCUUCCUCCACUAACAUAGCAGGGGCUGCUAUUGCCCAUAGGCAACUUGGCCACCCCGAGGCCACUCCAUCCAACUUCUUUGAAAAGUAGGUGUUGGCCUAGGUUCUGAUCCUAAUUUCUGUGGAAUACACCCAUAGCUAUUCCCUUCUUCUCUGCUACAUACAAAGAGA